RNAcentral lists this ribosomal RNA (557 nucleotides) under uncultured bacterium. RNAcentral's name for it is "partial 16S ribosomal RNA". It matches the Rfam family "Bacterial small subunit ribosomal RNA", at positions 355 to 928 of the family's 1533-position model. The record is from RNAcentral.
UGGGGAAUAUUGCACAAUGGGCGAAAGCCUGAUGCAGCAACGCCGCGUGAGUGAUGAAGGCCUUCGGGUUGUAAAGCUCUGUCUUUUGGGACGAUAAUGACGGUACCAAAGGAGGAAGCCACGGCUAACUACGUGCCAGCAGCCGCGGUAAUACGUAGGUGGCAAGCGUUGUCCGGAUUUACUGGGCGUAAAGGAUGCGUAGGCGGAUUUUUAAGUGAGAUGUGAAAUACCCGGGCUUAACUUGGGUGCUGCAUUUCAAACUGGGAAUCUAGAGUGCGGGAGAGGAGAAUGGAAUUCCUAGUGUAGCGGUGAAAUGCGUAGAGAUUAGGAAGAACACCAGUGGCGAAGGCGAUUCUCUGGACCGUAACUGACGCUGAGGCAUGAAAGCGUGGGUAGCAAACAGGAUUAGAUACACUGGUAGUCCACGCCGUAAACGAUGAGUACUAGGUGUAGGAGGUAUCGACCCCUUCUGUGCCGCAGUUAACACAAUAAGUACUCCGCCUGGGAAGUACGAUCGCAAGAUUAAAACUCAAAUGAAUUGACGGGGGUCAUAGCUG